GGGUGAGGAUCGGAGAUCAAGAAAUACCAAAAAGCGACCGUUUUCGUUACCUAGGAUCUAUCUUGCAAAAGAACGGAGAAUUAGAUGAAGAUCUCAACCAUAGAAUACAAGCUGGAUGGAUGAAGUGGAAGAGUGCAUCCGGCGUGUUGUGUGACCGCCGUAUGCCAUUGAAGCUCAAGGGAAAAUUUUAUAGGACGGCAAUAAGGCCGGCGAUGCUGUAUGGCACAGAAUGUUAGGCGGUGAAACAUCAACACGUACACAAAAUGGGUGUAGCGGAGAUGAGGAUGCUUCGUUGGAUGUGUGGGCACACGAGAAAGGAUAAGAUUAGGAAUGAGGAUAUCCGGGGUAAAGUAGGAGUAGCCGAAAUUGAAGGAAAGAUGAGAGAAAAUCGGUUACGGUGGUUUGGACAUGUGCAAAGAAGGCCUACUGAUGCUCCGAUUAGAAGAUGCGACUAUGGGACAGAGGUUCAGGGCCGAAGGGGUAGAGGAAGACCUAGGAAAACUUUGGAAGAGACUCUAAGAAAUGACUUAGAGUACUUGGAUCUAACGAAGGACAUGACACAGGAUCGAGCACAAUGGCGUUCUAAGAUUCAUAUAGCCGAUCCCACUCAGUGACUUGGAUUUUCCAAGUCUCCAAUCGAGAAGUUUUCCUCACUCGGGAAAUUAAGGGAACACUACCCCAACCUACAUGCUCCACUCAGAAAGCUUCAACAUACAAGCUUCAACAAAAGAAAAUUCAAAGAACUUAGCGAAGAAGGCUUUGGUGUAUUUAACACAAUACGUUGAAAUGAAGGAAAGCUUAUUUAUUGAUAUCCCCCGAUCAGCUACAAAUAUGUACAUAUACAUGAGUCAAAAUAAACACACAAGACGGAGCCUUCACAAAGGUUGCUUAGGAGAAGUCUUAGCAGUCGGUAGAGCCCCAGAAAGAGAAGGCACCAGAGGGGGAUCAUUUGGAGCCUCAGUACUGGACAGAACCUUAGAAGGAGGAGGCAUCAGAGGUUGAUCAUUCGGAGCUUCAUUACGCGGUACAGCCCCAGAAGACGAAGGCAAUAAAUGCCUUUGGAACAAACCCACAAAUCUCUGAUGAUCAAGUAAAACCUGACCAUCAGUUUCCUUCAUCUGGUCAAGCUUCCUCUUCAUGUUUGUAGCAUAGUCAUGUGCGAGCCGGUGCAACUGUUUAUUCUCAUGCUUGAGCCCUCUAAUCUCCUGUUUGAGACUCAUCACUUCAGCCGCCAAGGAUUCAACUUGGCGGGUUCGAGCAAAUAGGCGUUGGGCCAUAUUAGACACAGAACCUGCACACUGAACACUGAGAGCCAGCGAAUCCUUAACAGCUAACUCAUCAGACCGUUUGGAAAGUAGUCUGUUAUCUUUGGGAGUGAGAAGGUUCCUGGCCACCACCGCAGCGGUCAUAUCAUUCUUCAUCACGGAAUCCCCAACGGUAAGAGGACCAGUAGGGGAGACGAAGGAUGGGCGCCAUAUGUUGUCUGGAGAAGGCGGGGCUGCCUCUUCAACAAGGUUCAAGUCAAAACGACGGUCGGAGGGGCCAGGGGCCAGACAUUUUCAAAGGUGUUGAAGAGAGAAGAGGUCGGACAAAUCAAGAUCUUAGAAGUGCAAGAAUGAAGCUUCUACUGGUGGAGAUUCAAGUGUGCUUUGGAACUUAAUGUCAGCCUCUAUAAAAAUCUGCACUCGACGGAGCUUCAGAAAUCGAAGAGGCGCCUGCUCAGAAAUCGAAGAGGCGUUUGCUUUCUCAAAAGCUGGGCUGCUUAGAGAUCACGAGGGUUGAUCUCAGAAAUCGAAGAGGCGUUUGCUUUCUCAAAAGUUGGGCUGCUCAAAGACCACGAAGGCCGAUCUCAGAAAUCGAAGAGGCGCUCGCUUUCUCAAAAAGCUGGGCUCCCCAGAGACCACGAGGGCCGAUCUCAGAAAUCGAAGAGGCACCUACUUUUCCAGCCUUGUCAGCACCCGUCACACGCACACUCAGCUUUGCAGAAAUUAUGGGCAUUCUGUCGAAGACUUCUGGGGAAGUAGAAAACACAUGAAUCUUACUGUUCAAUCACCCACUUCCCACACGCAACAAUAGCUCAUGGGUACCACAGAUAACUUUGCCAAAGUUCUCUGCCAAAGUUGAGCACGUGAAGCUUGCAGCUCCCACUACAUCGCUCUGACCAAGAAGGGUAAAAGAAUAGCAAAGAAACAGCACUAACAAAGUUUAGACCCAUAAAUUUUGAAGGUCUAGCAACCAUAUUAUUACCCACAAGGGUAAAGGAACAGUACCACUGCUGGAUAAUUGGAAAGUCCCUGUGUGUCAACCUCUGUGCUUCGUGGCAAGGUAGACUAGCAAACAUGCCCAACCUUUACUCACAUUCGAGAAAACACUCCCAAUAAGAUUGCUUGCUCCAAAAGCGAAGAGGCACCGUCCUCCGAAUCUCGAGAGCCAGACUCCCAACUUGACUACUUUCUUAAAAAUCGAAGAGAGGGUAAAGGAACAGUACCAUUGCUGGAUAAUUGGAAAAGUCCCUGUGUGUCAACCUCUGUGCUUCGUGGCAAGGUAGACUAGCAAACAUGCCCAACCUUUACUCACAUUCGAGAAAACACUCCCAACAAGAUUGCUUGCUCCAAAAUCGAAGAGACACCGCCCUCCGAAUCUCGAGAGCCAGACUCCCAACGUGAUUACUUUCUCAAAAAUCGAAGAGACACUGCUCCCCGAAUCUUCGAGAGCCAGACCCCCAGCAUGAUUGCUUUCUCAAAAAUCGAUGAGGCAUCGUUCUCCGAAUCAAUCGAAGAGGCGCUCGCUUUCUCAAAAGCUGGGCUGCUCAGAGACCACGAGGGCCGAUCUCAGAAAUCGAAGAGGCACCUACUUUUCUAGCCUUGUCAGCACCUGUCACACGCACACUCAGCUUUGCAGAAAUUAUGGGCAUUCUGUCGAAGACUUCUGGUGAAGUAGAAAGCACAUGAAUCUUACUGUUCAAUCACCCACUUCCCACACGCAACAAUAGCUCAUGGGUACCACAGAUAACUUUGCCAAAGUUCUCUGCCAAAGUUGAGCACGUGAAGCUUGCAGCUCCCACUACAUCGCUCUGACCAAGAAAGGUAAAAGAAUAGCAAAGAAACAGCACUAACAAAGUUUAGACACAUAAAUUUUGAAGGUCUAGCUACCAUAUUAUUACCCACAAGGGUAAAGGAACAGUACCACUGCUGGAUAAUUGGAAAGUCCCUGUGUGUCAACCUCUGUGCUUCGUGGCAAGGUAGACUAGCAAACAUGCCCAACCUUUACUCACAUUCGAGAAAACAGUCCCAACAAGAUUGCUUGCUCCAAAAUCGAAGAGGCACCGUCCUCCGAAUCUCGAGAGCCAGACUCCCAACAUGACUACUUUCUCAAAAUCGAAGAGAGGGUAAAGGAACAGUACCAUUGCUGGAUAAUUGGAAAGUCCCUGUGUGUCAACCUUUGUGCUUCGUGGCAAGGUAGACUAGCAAACAUGCCCAACCUUUACUCACAUUCGAGACAACACUCCCAACACGAUUGCUUGCUCCAAAAUCGAAGAGGCACCGCCCUCCGAAUCUCGAGAGCCAGACUCCCAAAAUGAUUACUUCCUCAAAAAUCGAAGAGACACUGCUCUCCGAAUCUCGAGAGCCAGACCCCCAGCAUGAUUGCUUUCUCAAAAAUCGAAGAGGCAUCGUUCUCCGAAUCUCGAGAGCCAGAUACCACAGACCACUUUUUCAAAGUGCUCUGACAGAGUUAAAACAUGUGAAACUGGCAGCUCCCACUACUGUGCUAUGACCAAGCAGGGUAAAGGAAUAGCAUUACUACUUGUUGUUAGGGAGACUCCUAUAUAUGUCGACCUCCAUCCCCAACGGACAGGCAGACCUGCAAAAAUGCUCAACCCUUCAUCAUAUCUGAGAGGGCACUCCCAACGAAGCCUUUCGAAAUAUUCAGCUUUCUUUCCCCCCGAUAAUACCUCUGCAAACAAGCUAUACUAGAGCAAGAAUAUCUCAUAUCAUCAGGGUUAAAAGCAAGAGUAUCCCAUAUCAUGCUUUUUCCCUGUCUUUUCCUUUGGCCUUGUUUUUACCUGCAAGACAAGGAGAAAGAGAGCAAUCAGUCAGCACUUGGAAUCAAGCUUCCAGCCAGGAACUGACUGCCUGGAACCCCUUACCUGAUUACUUACCUGGCAUUGCUCUUGAGUACUCAUCUUCAACAUCUUAUGUUUCCAGGAAAGAUUCCGCAUCUGCUUGAGGAACAGAUAGGGCAAGUGCGAAGGAUACAAGGAAGCAUGUGGAGACAAGCGUAACAGCACACGUGCCGAUACACCCAUUACUCUGUCAAAAGCAAAAGUAUCCCAUAUCAGCAGGGUGGAACGUACUCUAGAUUUGAUGGACUUGUUUUGACCCUCAAAUUCUUCAGUCGGCCUUAUACUCUGGAGGAAACCAGAAAACCCUCCAGCUCAGUUCAAGAAUAAGCCUGUGGAAAGUUACUUCUUCAAAAGCAAAAGUAUCUCAUAUCAUCUCUUCUCAUUUUUCUUCUCUUUAUCCUUCAUGCUGCUGCAAGAUGGGGAGAAGGUGAACAAUCAGUCGGAGCUCUGAUGGCUUACCUUGUCUGUCACCUCUUUCAGCAGACCCCCUAGCUCGGCGACUUGGGGGACUCCUACUACAUGGUUUGUAUCACGCUUGACCAAGCCUGAGACUACAAGUAAGCUUCAAGUGAAAUUGAUACAUUACCUUGUGCAUCUCCACCAGUUAAAGAUACCACCCCUGGAUGGAGGAAGAGUACUUCCAGAGAAGAUGCCACAUCUACCUAUGAGACAGAUAAGGCAAGUCAAGACGACACCACACUCCGAUACUUAGAAGUUUCGUGAUUACGAGAUCAUUCUCCCACAAUAUUUCCUAAUGUCAUUUGUACUAAAUCAUUCACUUGUACUCACUAAAGGAGAGCUUGAACCUAUGUACUUGUGUAAACCCUUCACAAUUAAUGAGAACUCUUCUAUUCCGUGGACGUAGCCAAUCUGGGUGAACCACGUACAUCUUGUGUUUGCUUUCCUAUCUCUAUCCAUUUAUAUACUUAUCCACACUAAUGACCGGAGCAAUCUAGCGAAGAUCACAAAAAGCGACCGUUUUCGCUACCUAGGAUCUAUCUUGCAAGAGAACGGAGAAUUAGAUGGAGAUCUCAACCAUAGAAUACGAGCUGGAUGGAUGAAGUGUAAGAGUGCAUCCGGCGUGUUGUGUGACCGUCGUAGGCCACUGAAGCUCAAGGGAAAAUUUUAUAGGACGGCAAUAAGGCCAGCGAUGUUGUAUGGCACAGAAUGUUGGGCGGUGAAGCAUCAACACGUACACAAAAUGGGUGUAGCGGAGAUGAGGAUGCUUCGUGGGAUGUGUGGGCACACGAGAAAGGAUAAGAUUGGGAAUGAGGAUAUCCGAGGUAAAGUAGGAGUAGCCGAAAUUGUAGGAAAGAUGAGAGAAAAUCGGCUCCGAUGAUUUGGACAUGUGCAAAGAAGGCCGACUGACGCUUCGGUUCGAAGAUGUGACUACGGGACAGAGGUUCAGGGCCAAAGGGGUAGAGGAAGACCUAGGAAAACUUUGGAAGAGACUCUAAGAAAAGACUUAGAGUACUUGGAUCUAACGGAGGACAUGACACAAAACCGAGCGCAAUGGCGUUCUAGGAUUCAUAUAGCCGACCCCACUUAGUGGGAAAAGGCUUUGUUGUUGUUGUUGUUGUUGGUAGAAGUUGUUACACGUAGAGACAAAUUAUAAGACUAUACUAUGAAGAGAGAGAGUUUUUGAUUUAUUUCAUAGAAAAAUGAAGGGUAAAUUACACAAAACUACCUCAACUAUGAGUCGCACCAUAAUUUUAUACCUCAUGUUUUAAACAUUGCAACGUCAUACCUUAACUUAUGAAUUCGUUGCAAUGUCAUACCUCCGUUAGUGAUUCUGUCAAAUUGGGCGUUAAGUGAUGAUUUGGCAAAUGGAGGGCUCAUAUAUUUUCUAACGUGGCAGUCCACUUGUGCCAGCCAUUAAACAAAAUUAUAAAAUAUAUCAUUUAAAAUGAUAAAAUUUUAGGGUAAAGUACAAAAAACUACCUCAACUAUUGGUGUCACGACACUUUCAUACCUUAUCUUUUAAAAUUGACAAUGUCAAACCUCAUCUUACGAAUUUGUGUCAAUGUUAUACCUUCCAUUAGUUUGGAUUGAAUUUCUCAGUUAAAUGCUGACGUGGCUUGAUCCGGAACCCAUUUUCUAUUAAAAAAUUAUUUAAGAUUUUUUUAAAUAUUAAAAUAAUAAAGAAAAGUUAUUAAAAACAACAACAACACUCUCCCCUUCCCCAAAACCCAGGUCGUCCUCUAAAAAACCCAACCGAAGAAAAAGAAGAAGAAGAAGAAGAAGAAGAAGAAGAAAAUGAGGAGAAGAAGAAGGAGAAAAGAAAAAAAAAAAAAAAGGAAAUUCGUCCAUCCCCCAAGUGGGGAGGUUGGGUGUGCAGAGUGGGUGCGAGGAGAAGAUGAACUGGGUUGAUUUUUUUUUUUUUUAGGUUGCAGGAAGGGGUUUCAGGGGAAGAAGAUGAACAUGGGGGAAGGAUGGAGGGUGGGUGCGGGUGCGAGGGGAAGACGAACUGGAUUUUUUUUUUUUUGGGUUGCAGGAAUGGGGAUUUGAGGAAGAACAUGAACAUGAGGGCAAGAAUGGGGAUCUAGGGAAGAACAUGAACAUGAGAGCGGGUGGCGAGGGUAAUCAAAUCUGAUGGUUUUUGUUUUCUUCUUCUUCCUCCUUCUUCUUCUUUCUGGGUUGCAGGGACGAACAUAGGUUUUUUUUUUUUUCUUCUUCUUCCUCCUCCUCCUUCUUUUUGGGUUGCAGGAAGAUGGGGAGGGGAAGGACGAACAUAGUUUUUUUUUUGUUUUUUUUCUUCUUCUUUCUGGUUUGCAAGAAGAUGAGGAGGGGGAGGGACGAAUAAAGGUAUUUUUAUUUUUUUUUACUUUUCUUUAUUAUUUUAAUAUUUAAAAAAAUAUUAAAUAAUAUUUUUUAGUUUUUUUUAGUAAUAUUUUAAUGAUUUUUUAAUAGAAAGUGGGCCCCGAAUCAAGCCAGCAUUUAACUGAAAAAUAAAUGACCAAGUAACGGAAGGUAUAACAUUGACACAAAUUUGUAAGAUGAGUUAUGACAUUGUCCAUUUUAAAAGAUGAGGUAUGAAAGUGUCGUGACACCAAUAGUUGAGGUAGUUUUUUGUACUUUACCCAAAAUUUGAUGUCAAAAUUUUUUUUAAAAAAGUGGGCCCCACCCCUUUAAAUAACCAAAACCACCAUCUUCUCCGACCUACCCUCCGUUCUCUCCGACCUCCCCUCUCAAUCUGAAACCAAACCUUGAAACCAUUCUCUCCCUCUGUUCAAAUAACACUCCUCUUCCGCCAUCUUCUUACUCUCCCAAUGUACAAAACGCUGUUCUCCUAAUUUAACUCCACAGCUUGAAUUCAAAUCCUCAAUCACCGAGUCAACCUGGGCUUUCCAGUUCAUAGACAGCUUAAUCUCUGCCCUCUUGAUGAGCGCAUCUCUGUAAUCCUCUUUGGUCAGGCUUUUUAGCAGAGAGGGGACAACGCAACGUCAAUGGCAUCGAGGGCGGAGGUCUUGAAUCCCUAAGCGUCGAAGAUAACGGCUUCGAGGAUAUGGGUGGUGGCGUCCUUAGGGUCAAGGAUGAUGGCCUUCUUGGCCUCAUCAAGGGCCUGCUGGGAAAGGGAGGCAGAUAAGGAGUGGGAAUCGACGGAUAGGGACUGGACGAGGAGCUGGGCACUGAGGACGCUUGGCUUGGGCGGCAGGUUUGUUGCGGAAGCGAUAAUAAAGGUUGGCUAGGAGCUUUCGAAAGAUGUUGUUGAUGGAGAGGAAUACGACGACGAUGAGGAUUAGGCCAGUUUGGAGGAGAAUGUCCUUCGUGAUUCGAGACCAAUCGAUCGGUGCAAAUUCAACUGUUUGGGAAUUUAUGCAUGGGAAUUAGGAUUGAAGGAAUACAUGAGUGGGUGUUUGGGAAUCGGGUUGAGGGAAGAUUGGAAGAUAUGGGAAUUGGUUUCAGGGUUUGAAUUCAUAUUGAUGAGGAGGUUGGCGAGGGCUGUAACAUCCCACAUCACCCAGGGGAGUGGAUCAUGUAAGCCUUAUAUGUAUAUUCCCAUCUCUACCUAGCACGAGGUCUUUUGGGAGGCUUACUGGCUUCGGGUUCUAUUGGAACUCCGAAGUUAAACGAGUUCCCACGAGAGCAAUCUCAUGAUGGGUGACCCACUGGGAAGUUUUUGUGUGAGUUCCCAGAAACAAAACCGUGAGGGCGUGGUUGGGGCCCAAAGCGAACAAUAUCGUACUACGGCAGAGUCGAGCCCGGUAUGUGGUGAGGGCCUGGGCCGGGAUGUGACAAUUUGGUAUCAGAGCCAAUCACUGGCUAGAAGUGUGUCGAUGAGGACGUCGGGCCCCUAUGGGCGGUUGAUUGUAACAUCCCACAUUGCCCAGGGGAGUGGAUCCUGUAAGCCUUAUAUGUAUAUUCCCAUCUCUACCUAGCACGAGACCUUUUAAGAGCUCACUGGUUUCGGGUUCCAUCGGAACUCCGAAGUUAAGCGAGUUCGCGCGAGAGCAAUCUCAUGAUGGGUGACCUACUGGAAAGUUCUCGUGUGAGUUCCCAGAAACAAAACCGUGAGGGCAUGGUCGGGGCCCAAAGUGGACAAUAUCGUGUUACGACAGAGUCGAGCCCGGGAUGUGGUGGGUCCUCGGGCCGGGAUGUGACAAGGGCGGAGGAAGGUCGGAGAAGAAGGUGGAUUUAGUGCUUUGAAGAGGGUGGACCCAUUUUUUUAAAUUUAAUUUUUGGCAUAAAAAAAAUUAAUGAUUAUUGUAUAUAUAAUUUCUUAAUGGCACAAGUGGACUGCCACGUCAACGAAUAUAUGGCUCCUCCAUUUUCCAAAUCAUCACUUAAUGACCAAUUUGACAGAAUCACUAACGGAGGUAUGACAUUGCAACGAAUUCAUAAGUUAAGGUAUGACAUUUAAAACAUGAGGUAUGAAAUUGUGGUGCGACCCAUAGUUGAGGUAGUUUUAUGUAAUUUACCCAAAAAUGAAACAAUUAUAAGACUAUAUUAUGGAGAUAGAUUUUUUUAUUUAUUUCAUAGAAAAAUGAAACCUUUUUUUUUUUUAACAAACAAUAUUAUCUACACUAAGGGGGUGGAAGAUGGCUAAGCUCACACUGAGCUAGCCACAAUAAUGUGGUUCAAAUUCGACUUUUGUAAGAAUCAAACCUAACUACCUAAGACCUCUCACUUACAAGUGAAGUAAAAUACCAUUAGACCGUAAUACUAAGUGACAAGAAAAUGAAACUUAUCUAUGUUUAAAAGAUGGAUCUUUCACUUUUUGUCACCUUUUUUUUUUCUUUUUUUUGGGUACUUCCCUCUUUUUUCUCAUAUUGUUCCUACCCCUCUCUCUUUCAUCCUCUGCUUUUUCAUACUAUUCGUUGAGGGUGCUUUUUUUUUUCUUUUAUGAUAACAAUUGAAAAUUUUUAAUUUUUUAAUUUUAGUUUUUUUUAAGUGUUUGAUUUUGAGAUUUUAAUGAUUUGGAUGCAUAAAUUUUGAAGCUAAUCUUUCAGAAUUGCUUAAGUUUUGAAGCUAAUCUUGCAGAAUUGUUGAAAUUCUAAAACUGGUAUUGUAGAAGUGCAUGAAUUUUGAAACUGAUCAUGAAGUGCUAAAAUUUUUGAAAUUGAUCUUCCAUAAGUGCAGGAAUUUUAAAAUUGAUCUUGCAGAAUUGUUAUAAUUUUGAAACUGAUCUUGUAUAAAUUAAUUUUUACAAAUCUGAAAUCCUUUUGAAGUGAAGUUUUAUGAAAUAUAUUUUUCUAUUUUUAACUCAGCUCCCUAUAAAAUAUAACUGGAUAAUGACAAAACGAAUAUUCUUUUUGCCACGCAAAACAAAUAUUCAAGUUAAGGCGCGAAUUAUAAGCCUGCACAAGUUAACCAUAUCUUAUCGAGUACGGAAUCUUCUCUACUUUACAAGGCUUAAGCAACUAAGAGUGCAUGCAUGAUAAUUCGAAGAACUUGAAUUUUGAUUCUCUGCCUCUUAAAGGGUGAUGCUAGUAGAAAAAACAACUUGCGCAACGAUGACAAUUUUGUCGCUUAAAGUGCGAUUGCGCAACGAAACUAGGAAUCCAUCGCGCAAAUGUUGAAAACUUUACGCAACAAAGGAUUUUGUCGUGCAAGGUAUUUUUUGCUUGAUGAAUCAAACCAUUCCUCGCGCAAAGGCCUUCAAGUAAACGUGAGUAAGGAGUUUUUUGGUGCAAAAGAAAUGGUGAAGAAGAAUUUCUUGCAUAAAGAUUGCACCACAAAUACUUCGUCGCACAAAUGGACAGUGGGCAUUGAAGUCGUCGUAUUUAUUGUAUACUUUACGCUACAAAGGGUUCGUCGCACAAGGUUUUGGGACCAAAUUGCACGACCAAAUGUUUGUCGCACAAAGUUCUGUAGGUUCUUUUAAAUCACAAUUUCACUGUAACUUUUUCUUACAUUGGUUUACUCACAACCCUAGAUUUCCUCCUGUACACCCACCCCCCUCCCCUUCAUAUCUCAAGGUCUUGUUUUAAUUUUUGAGAGGAUGGCCAAUUCCGAACCUUUUCCAAGUAAAGGAUGCGAGGGCAAAGGCUCUCAGAAAGGUAAUACUAAAUUGGAUAAAUCGCCAAAAUGGUCCCUAAGAUUUGCAUAACUCAUCACUUUGGUCCUUGAGAUUCCAAAUCGAUAAAAGUGGUUCCUAAGAUUGUCCACCAUCCAUCAUUUUGGUCAUUCCGUUAAAAACUCCAUUAAGUGUCCCGGAGCUCUUGGCCGGAAGUUUGGGCAAUUUUCAAAGCUUCGUAACUCAAUCAUUUCUUAGCCAAAUUUGACCCAUAAUAUAUCCAAAUGAAGAUGGGAAAGUGUAGAAUAAUAUUAUACCUAUUUCGAAGCCCAAUGGUUGAUGGAGAUGACCGGAAAAUAGCCUCAAAAUUGGCUGGUACGAGUGAAAACUUGAAAACUCGCCGGAAACUGGGUAAACUUUAAACGUUCAUAACUUCUUCAAUACUCAACGAAAUCAAGUGAUUCAAAACAAAAAAUCAUACUUCUCAAUGAGACUAAGAGAAUGGUACCUUUUUCAAUGGCUAACUCACCGUGGUUUGGCCAAAAAACGGCUCGAAAGUGGCUGUCUUGGUCUCAAGUUAGCCACUUUCGAGCCGUUUUCCUGCAAAACCAUGACAAUUUAGCCGUAAAAAAAAGGUACCAUUCUCUUUUUAUCAUCGAGAAGUAUGAUUUUCAUGUUUGAAUCACUUGAUUUCGUUGAGUAUUGAAGAAGUUAUGAACGUUUAAAGUUUACCUAGUUUCCGGCGAGUUUUCUAGUUUUCGCUCAGACCAGUCAACUUUGAGGCUAUUUUUCGGCCAUCUCCGACAACCAUUGGGUUUUGAAAUAGGUGUAAUCUUAUUCUACACUUUCCUAUCUUCAUUUUGAUAUAUUAUGGGUCGAAUUUGAUUAAGAAACGAUUGAGUUACGAAACUUUGAAAAUUGCCCAAACUUCCAACCAAGAGCUCCAGGACACUUAACGGAGUUUUUAACGGAAUGACCAAAAUGAUGGAUGGUGGACAAUCUCAAGGACCACUUUUAUUGAUUUGGAAUCUCAGGGACCAAAGUGAUGAGUUAUGCAAAUUUCAGGGACCAUUUUGGCAAUUUACCCUACUAAAUUUUAUAUGGAAUUAAUUGUUUAUUUUUUGUGUUGAAUAAAAAUUUUGGAUUAUUUACUAAGUUUUUUAGUAGGAAAAAAAAAGAAGGAAAGCUGAGGUGGUGAUCCGAUUAGGGCUGGUUGAAUGUCACUGUAAGCGAAUCAACUAUGGUGCAAUAAGAAGAUUUGAGGAGGCAGAGUCACACACCAUGCUUUGGCACGACAUUGUGCCGCUAGUGUGGAAUAAUUGUUCUGCAGAGUGUGCGUCUUAGAGAAAGGUACUGGAUGAGGUGAAGAAGUAUAUGAUGCAAGAGUUAUCUGUAAGUUCAAAUCAGUGAAAUAGCAUAAGUGAUUAAUGAUGAAACCGAUCAAAAGUUGUUGAUAUUCAUUGAUAACAUCUUCAAGGGGCACUUUUGCUAGUGGAAGAUGUCGCACAAGAUGCAGAACAACAGGGAAACCCUGAAGGACCAGCAAAAUAGAAAGGUUAUUAUUUUGUUUUUUAAUUGUUAUGGACGAAUAAUAGUUUUAUUUUAAGUAUUUUGUGGUUGGUAUUUUAAAAUAUUGUUUAAUUUUGAGUUGAAUUAUUUAUUUGGUUAUUAUAAUUUUGAUAAAUUUUAAAGUAAAGGAAAUUACAUAAAAAAAAUAAAUAACAAAUUGCGCGACGAAGUAGCCCCACAAAAAAAAUUUAGGGACGAAAGUUGCGCGACGAAUGUCUUAUUUGUUGGGCAAAAGAUUCGAUGGGAAAAACUUUGCACGAAAAAUUAUUAGCGCGCAAAUUAUGGAGUGUAGUAUGGAUGCGAAAUUAUUAGCGCGCGAAAAAUUAUUACCAUUCAAGGAUUAGUUGGAUUUCACGCAUGGAUGCGAAAGCAUGACUAUGGUCCAAUUAAUUCUUGAAUUGUCCCAUUAUUUGGACAGUUUGGGAAUGCAUAAUUAUGGAGUGUAGUAUAAGGUUCACAGAUUAGGUUUUGGUUGUGGGAAUUUUGGCGCCAUCUCUUUACGUUCUUCGGGUGCCAGAUAUGUAUUUUAUUGCUACGUCGUGCACUUGAAGAACUAUAGGGAGAUGUUGCUGAAUUUUCCCACAUCAAAAUCUAAUCUGAUUAAUACUUAAACGACGUCCCAUAAUUGUGCAUUCCUGAAUGGGAUAGAGCCCUUACCGGGGGCAUAAUGUAACUAUAUAUUGUUAAAGUUAUGGUAAUCAUUGUAUUUUUAUUGUGCUUGCAAACACUAUGGACAAACAGUGGAUAUAGAAUCCAAACAAAUGUGAAGAUGAAUACUUGGAUGGAAUAAAUGAUUUUAUUGAGUUUGCAAUUAGACAUAACCUAGGUGCAACUAGAAUCUGACGGUCGUGUAAGAUAUGUGACAACAUGUUAAGGGAGACAUUUGAAAAUGUUCGAUUCUUAUACUAAGAAAUGGGAUGAUAGAGACCUAUACUACUUGGAUUCAUCAUGGAGAACAAUUAGACCAUGCUUUGCCUUCAAACAUGAUAAACACUACAAGAAAACAUGGAUUAAGUGACAACAUUUUAUGUGACGCCUAUAAAUGGGUGAGGAAUUUUAAAAAAGGUUCACAUACAUACUAUUGUGGGAUACAAAAUAAUUUUGGAAUGUUGUUCGUCACAUAGCAAGCCUAAAUUCCUUACAAAUUUUUAGGCGCCAAAUUUUGCCGCUUAAUUGUUUUCACUGGGUGACGAAAAGAUUGGAUUCUUCACAUACUCUAAGAUUAGGUGACCUAGGUAUGUGAGAAAAGUCAAUUCAUCACCAUUUGAUUUACUAAAGGCAGAGGGAAAAAUAAAAUAAAAAAUCAUAAAACAAAGCCCCAAUUAUAACUCAUCUAUUCUACUUCCACCCCACUUCGUCUCUUAGUCUCUCAAUGUUGCCAAUGACGGAUUGUUGGUGGCCAUGACUGCAUCUCGCUUUCAUCUUCCUCAAACCUCAGAUGCUUGCUCUCGUACUCUACUCUCUUUGAUUUAAGAAGACCUAGUUUCUCAGCUGUCCUUUCUCCCAAUUUCUUCUCAAAAGGUACUCAAAUCUCUCUCUGUCAAUUACUGCACUUUUCUUGAUUUCUCUCUUGUAAAUUUGUCUCAACUGCGAAAAUUUGAAUUUUUGCUUAAAUGGGUCUAUGUUAUUCAUUGUUUUCCCAGAUGGGUCUCUCUUGUUUUCUCCUACAUUUGAUAAUUUAGCUCUUGUUCUUGUGCUUAUGUGUCUGUGUUUAUGGAAUUACUUUCAUGCUUGGGAUGGCCUUUGCCAUAUGGUAUUAAGGAUGAAUCAAUCAAAGCGAGUUCUGCGAUACAGGGUCAUAUAUUUAGUAGUUCUUGAAUCGAUUUGCCUUUUAGUUAAGUUGACAAUGAUACUCUAUCUAUGUUUAUAAGUUACGAUGAACAAAUUUUUGAAAUAUCAGCAUAACGCAAGUUUAAUUUUUAAGAAGUACUAUAUAUAUAGGUCCUUACUUGAUAUUAGGUGCAUUGUCAUAGAGGUUUUUUUUUUUGCAUUGUUAUGGAGUAGGUUUUUCGCUUAGUGUGGGACGGACCAGAAUCUUCUUAUUCAAGUGCUAUUUAAGUAAGAGGGAUUGCCAGUUGAUGAACUUUUUGCUGGGGAAGAGUCUGAUGAUAUGUUCUUGAAAUGUAAAAUCAUAUUUAUGAGAGCAUUUAGCACAUGGAGCAUGAUUUCUAUCGACUAAUUAGUACACAUUUGUCUUUUAAAGUUAAUAUAGGGAUGGGAGUGGAGUAUGUAUUUUUCAUAGAUUGAUUGAAUGUACAAGAGGGGAUAUAUAAUGAGGUAAAAGGUUACAAGCAACCCUACCUUGGCAAAUCCUACUAACCCGGUAAACCCUAAAGCUGUCACUCCUUAAAUUAAGAGAGUGCAGCAAGUAGCUAGUACACAACUAUCAACAAGUCAUCUAGAUGUCAAUCUUCCUCAAAUUAAGGGAUUAGACUUAAUAGAGAAUCCUAUGGAAAGAGGAAACAUAAAAUUUGGCAACAUCAGUCACCCCAUAUCGUCUGCAUAUGACUGAUGUUGCAUACUGAUGCUGCAUAUCGUCUAGUAUCCAUAUGCAGCAUCAGUAUGCAUCAUCAAUCACCCAUAUUGUCUAAUAAGAACUUAUAGAAUCUGUAAGAGCAUUAUGUGAAAACACAAAUAUCAUCAGUUUAUAGAAAUGCAGGGAAACACCUGUUUAGUUUCUUUUGUGUCUUGCAAAAAAUUUGAAAUAUCUCGUUUCAUUGUUCGAAGAAUGGUUACUUUCUUCUUUAGCUUUUGUUCUUGUGUUUAUGUGUCUGUGUUUGUGGAAUUGCUUUCAUGCUUGGGAUGGCAUCUGUAUUUGUUUAUUUUAUUUGUCAAUGUUUAUUGAAUUGUUGCCAUGUUGCACUACUGAUGCUGCAUAUCCUCAACUUUUUGCUCAAUGUAUUUGUGUGAUGUUGAGACUCCAUUCACUCAACCAUAAAGAAACGAUGAAGGUGGUGAUCCCAAUGUGUUGCUCUCAAUGUUUGCACAAAAAGCACGUCCAUUUGGAGCUCAUGUAUUGGUUGAACUUUUCAGGGAAGAAAUAGAAGUGGCAUAUUGGUAUAUCUUAGACAAUUGUGAAGAAAUAGAAGACUUCAAGAGGUAUGUGAUAGUAAUUGUUUUACAUAUAUUGAAAUAUUUAUAAUUCUACAACUUUAACUUAUAUUUUUUUUUUUAUGUAUGCAGUGAGCAUAUCCAGAUUUUGGAAAGAGAUAAUCAUGUCAAUGUACAACUGAGACAUAAACAGUUGUUUCUUGAAUGGUUUAGGCAAUGGGCCACGUCAUUGUAUUAUCAAGAACCUAGAUUGGUGAGUGAAGAAAUUUUUUUGUUAGUCCAAGGUCCGGAUUGAUGUAUUGUCCAAUACACAGGUUAUAUUGUGAACGACAUUCGCUAUUUGGUCACACAAGUUGAUCAAAAUCGUACAACGCAGAAUAGUGGGGUAAUGAUGCCAGGGUCGCACAAUGGUGAACCAUGUAACUUCUAUGGUAGAUUAAUGAAUGUCAUUAAAGUACAAUUUAUAAGAGGUUAUAAGGUGAUUCUUUUCAAAUGUCAAUGGUACAAUAUAGAUGCCAAGGGAAAAAGAUUUAUUCAGGAAUAUCAUCUUACAUCAGUCAAUGUAAAUAACCGGUGGUACGAUCGUGAUCCAUAUGUGCUAGCUAGACAAGCACAUCAAGUAUUUUACAUUGAUGACUUAAAGUUGGGCCAUCCUUGCAAAGUUGUGCAGAAGAUUCAACAUAAGCACAUUUGGGAUGUCCCUGAGAAAGAUGAUGAUAGUGUGGACCAUGAUAAUGAUGAAGACGAUGAUGAUUAUGUAGAUAAAAUGAAAUUUUCAUGAGACCAAUCCUGAAUGAGGAUGAUGUUGAUUCUGAAUCUUUUGAUGUUAAUGACAAAGAGGUGCGAAAAAUGUUAGGGCUAGAGAAGGAGGAGGAAGGGGAUGAGGAGGAGGAAGAGCAAGAGAAGAAGGAGGAGGAGGAAGAAGAGGAGGAGGAGAUGGAGGAAGGGGUUGCAACUUGUGAUACAGAUAGUGAUUGAUGAUUAUGGUGAGAUCUGUACAUUAUAAAUCAAUAUUUAUAUUCUCCAAUAGUCUAUUUACUUAUAUAUAUAUAUAUACUAAUAGUCAUAUUAUUUAUAACAAAUUAUGGAAAUUUUAAGUUUGUUUGAAUGUAUUUUUCAUAGAUAGAUUGAAUGUAUAAGGGGGAUAUAUAAUGAGGUAGAAGGUUACAAGGAACCCAUAUCGUGCAACAUCAGUCACCCCAUAUCGUCUAAUACUCCAUAUGCAGCAUCAGUCACCCUAUAUCGUCUAAUAUCAGUAUGUAACAUCAGUCAUAUGCAGCAUCAGUCACCUCAUAUCAUCUAAUACUCCAUAUGCAACAUCAGUCACCCCAUAUCGUCUAAUAUCCAUAUGUAGCAUCAGUCACCCCAUAUUGUCUAAUACAAAUAAAUGUUUAUUAUUAUAUGGUUAUAAUGAUUUAUCUAUGAUGUUCGUUUGUUACUUAUUAUUAUUAUUUUUUAAAAUUUAUUAGAUGACAACUCCUACUCAACGAGGAAAGAGGGUGAAAAGGGUGAGGGAUGCCCCACCUCCACCACCACCACUUCCUCCGCCACCUCCGCCACCACCACCUCCUCCACCACCUGCUUCUUCACCAGAAGAGCCAACAGACAUGAACUUAGGUAUUUGAGAAAGACUACUUACAAUUCAUUCAACAUUUUUAUUUAGGACUUGAUCUUUUAAUGCUGCUUUAAACAAGUUAUAAAAUUAAUCAACCACAUAUAUUCUUUUUUAAUUUUUAGAGACAUAUUUUAACUUUAAUGCCAAAAAGAUGACACAUGGAAAGUCAUGUGGGAAAGGCCUCCACGAUAUUUUGGAGGCAAAUAAUGGGAAAAAGAUGCUAGUCAUGUUUGAUUUCAAAUUCCAAGUUCCAAGUGAUUUGGUAGUAUCAGGUUUUUUCCCUACCGAGAUAGGGAAUAUUGUUCAGACUCACUCGCUAGUUUACUACAAGAAAUGGAUGAAGGUCCCAUCUUCAGAAAAGAGGACACUGCAGAAUAAGUUGCUUGUGAGUUUGAUUUUAAUUUAGUUUAUUCAUAAUAAUUUCAAGCACUCACUUUUAUAUAUUUAUGUUUGAUAAUAUAGGUAUUAUUUGUGGUGUACUUAUCUCAUCCAAAGAUAAUUGAAUAUGUUGAUAAGAAGAUGGUGAAGUUGUACUCUAUGUUUAGGCAUUUAUUGUAUAAGUACUACUUGUCAUGUGGAACACCUGCAAGAGGACGAGCUAAUCUGCCAAAUGAUCGGAUAUGGAAUGGAAGACCUAAGAGUCACUGGAACUGGCUAUGUGAUAAUGUUUACACUACUACCCACUUUUUGGUAUGCAUUAUAUAUAUAUAUCAUUUUCUAAUAUAUGUCCAAGUUAGAUGCCAACGUUUUCUUAUAUUGUUGAACAACAAUUUUUUUUUAUCACAAGUUGAUUUUGUAAUAAAUGGAAUGAGCAUAGCACAAUGCUUUUUUUUAAUUAUUUUAUUUUAUUAAAAGUUAAUAUAUAAGCAUAUAUUAACUUUUACAUGUAUUUGUUGGUAUUAAUAUAUAUAAGCUUGUGAUAAAUAAUCGAAUGCAGGGCUUGUGAUAAAUAAGCUAUGCUUCUUCACUGGUGAGCUUAUAUAUAUAUAUAUAUAAUGAAGAGCUUGUACAUGUAUUUUAUUGAUAAAUAAGUUUUGCUUCUUCACAAGCUUUUACAUGUAUAUAAUGCAGAGCUUCUUCACUGAUAAAUAAGCUCUGCUUCUUCACAAGCUUUUACAUGUAUUUUAUUGGUAUUAGGCAUAAUCGAAUGCAAAGCUUGUUUGCAUUUAUUAGGCUAUUCAUUGCUUUUAGUUCUACAUUUCAAGUUGGUAAAAUUUGAGAAUGUCUACAAGAGAACGAGAGCAAAAAUCAUUGGAUAUAGUGUUUAUGAAAAUUAGAUUCUAAUUGAUUGGAGAAGAUGUUAGAUGGUGGUAUUCUAUUGCAUUUGAACAAAUAUGUAAAACUCAAAUAUAUGAAUAUGUAUAAGUCUGGGAGGUAGGAGCUUCCCAAAUUGUACACCUUUACAAUACUAACUCUUCUUUUACUUGUUAUGUACCACUUGUGUAAUGUAGGAGCUUUCAAAGCAAAAUGGUAAUAAUAGGAAGAAACUGAAGUAUCACCACAAGGGAGGAGCGAAGCCAUUCAUUCAACAUGCUAGGAUAGCUCACAAGGUAAUGAAACUAAAGUACUUAUAAUACUCAUUAUGCACUCUCACGUUUGUAUCUUCAUUAUUAAAUAGAAAGGAGAUUCAUUAUCAAUGAUUGACAAUUGGGGUGCUCUUCACAAAGACAAGAACAGCCAGUGGAUCAAUGAUGUUGCUCGAGACAAAUAUGUAAGUCAUUCAUGGGGCACUCAUUUUUUGUCAUUUCAAAUGCAUUGUAGAUUAAAAUUUUACAAUUGACAAGAUACAACUUAAGAAACAUAGUUGAAAUGAACAUGAAAAUUUGACAUGAUACUAUAUGUUUGUCCACCCCCAAUAUAUCUUAUGCUAACUUUGCAUCUGUUACUUGUUGAGAAAAACAUUUUAUGUGCCUAGUCCAAUUUAAUCCGUAGUAAAAUAGAAACUACAAUCAUGUUUACAUACAGGUUUUGCAUGGUGAUUUGCUUCUGCAUCAGAUAAGGAAAAUAUACAAGUGGUCAAGUUGUGUUUUCUUAAGCAUAUUAUAGCUAAAAUGUUUGGAAUGAAAGAAACUAAAUUGUUUCUAUUUAAUUAUGAAAGGAUAACAUGAAGAAAAUGAAGGAUGAAAUGAGGGAGAAGCUGAUCCAAGAAGCACCUGAAGGUACACCAUCAGACUCCAUACAUGUGCCAUUGGAUGAUGAGUUUGGAAUCAUGGUUGAAAACCUUGGGAGGAAGGGAAAAUUAGUUAAUGGUGUAGGUGUUUUUCCUCGUACCUCUGGUUGCAUUUCUUCUAUGGCAUCAAGUUCCGAGUUAACUGAUAUAAGAUCUCAGAUCAAGCUUCUAUCAGAUGGUUUCCUAAAAUUGCAACAAGAGAAUGCACAAUUGAGAGCUCGAUUGGAUUUACGUAAUGAUGAUGAAAAUCUAUUCACAAAAUUCAAGGCAUUUAUUGCUGCAAGUCAAGAGAAGACCAACAACUCUACAAAAUCUGAUGGUGAUAUUUCAGAGGGUGAAAAUACUUAUCCUGAGCUGGAAGAACAUGAUUUGGAAGAGGAAUGAUGUCCAUAUUGUGUCUUUUGCGGUUAGUUUCAAGUAUGCACAUGGUACACCUCUUUUGUUAGCACAUGGAACACCUAUUUUGUUAAUUAGCACCUGAAUGUGCCUUGGACUUGUCAUUUUUUAGUACCCAAGAUGUCUAUAUAUAGGUGUUACUACACUUCAUUAUUCUAGCUUAGACUUCUCUUUUGUUGGUACCUCAAGCUAUCAUUUGUUAGGCACCUCAAGCUAUCUUUUGUUAGGCAUCUCAAGCUCUUUUAAACUUCUCUUUUGAGAUAAGUCACCAUGACUUUAACUUUUGGGAUGUACAUUUGGUGAAUGUAUUCAACUUAUGUGUUUUAAUUGUUGAUUAAUGAAAAUGUGAAGUAUUACCUUAUAAUUGUUAUGAACUGCAAUUCUAGAUUACGAAACAAGAAAAAUAAUUAGUUUGUCAUUAUUAUUUCUAAAAAGGUAUUUGAUUUAAACAUAUGUGAUGUAAGAUGCACCACAUAUCAAAGGAAUAUUUGACAUUUUCAGCGUCACUUAGUGUAAACUAUAUCAUCUGGUAUCAUAUUGGAUGACUACAAAAUCAUCACUUAUAAACCUGAUAUGAGAUGAAAAAAUAGGUCACAUAAUUUGGUAUUUGAUGAUGUAUAAUUCGUCGCACAUAUUGUUAUUAAGUGACAUAUAAUUCGUCACACAUAUUGUUAUUAAGUGACGAAUGUUGUGUCACGCAUCACAUGGACUAUAGGUGACGCUAUAUAGGUGACGAAAUUGGUGACGCUAGAAUUCAGUCACAUAUAGUCAAAUGUGACAAAUUUCUUGUUUAUGUGAUGAAUGUCUGUCGCCACCUAAGCCAUGUUUUCUUGUAGUGAAAAGUGGACAAUGUUGAACCUAAUGUAGAUCAUAACGAACAUGUUAUGGAUAUUCUAAAUGAUGCUUUUCCAUUUCCCUCAAUGAACACCAGCCAGGAAGGGGAUGAUGACAUGCCUCCAUCAUGGAUAGUGAAGCUUUAGAACAAUAUGAUAAACUAUUAAAAAGUGCCGACCAAAAAUUAUACCUGGAUGCAAAGACUUUUUGGUGCUCACGACCAAUUGUGGAGUUGAUGCAUGGCAAAACAGAGUAUCGUAUGUUGAAUCAAUGUUUUAAUUACUUUUUGAGGGUUUUCAAGAGAAUUCUUUUGAAGGACAAUAGUUUGUCGAAAGAUCAUAAAAGUGCGCAAAAGGUGUUGAAUGGUCUCGAAUUUGGUUAUGAAGAAGAAGAAAUGGACAAGUCAAGCAAAAAAAGUAGAAAACUUCCCCAAAAUGCGGCAAAGGGGAGAAAUCUCCUUUAAAUUCGGCAAAAGGGUCCAAAUUGAUCCUAAAACAGGAAAGAAAGUUAAAGCAUCUUCAUAAAACAAGCAAGAAUUGAAGAUUGCUCACAAAAUAGGCAACAAGGCCUCAUAAUUUUGGCCAAAGGAGUAAAGUGGCUGAAAUUAAGACACAAAACAUGCCUAAAUUCUCAUAUGGAUGAAUUAGGACAUAAAUAAAAGUCAAAUCCACCCAAAGGCAAGCCUUGAGAAGCCUAUAAAUACAAGGUCCUCCCACAAGCAUAAGGGUCGAAAAAUCUCUACACAGAAGAAUCUUUGCCAAACCUUUGAAGACUAAUACGUUGUCAAAGCUCUCUUCGAAGAACAUUCAACCAAAGUCGAAGCUUUCUCUCGACCAAAGCCGAAGCACUUCCUUGAAGAAUCAACAAGCGCUCGUGCCGAUUCCUUCAAGAUUUUGUUGCAAGCUUAUAAACUUGUAGCAACAUUCAUUUCAAGAUCAAGUCGCUAAGACCCUUGAAGCAACGAAAUAUUGCAUCAAACACUACCUUUGCCGCACCCUUGAGGUGAAGAUCAUCCGCACGUGGUUUUCAAGCUCAAAACUUGAAGCAAUUGUUCAACCGUUCGUCCAAGAUCAAGUCAUCACGACCCUAGGAUCAACAAUCAACCAUCUACAUCAAAUUUGAAGACGGAAUCAAAGGAAAAGUUGUAAACAAAGAUUGUAAUCUACAACUUCAAAUCAAUACAAAUUUACUUUGUACACGUGUUCUUGUUUUAUUCAAUACAGAAUUUUCGUGUUCACACCUUAAUUUUUAGUUCUAACAGUUGGUAUCAGAGCCAAGGUUAGUUUCACUUGGCUUCAUGUUUUGUUUUGUUAUCACUUUUCUCUCACCACCAUCUCGAGUGUUUGCAGAUAAGGAAUCAAGAAUUACAGAAGUCCAAAUAAUUAAUAUACUGAACAAGUGUUCGAAGAAUUCCAUAAAAAAUGGGUUCUCAAUGAAAUAUUGUCUUAGUGGUGUAAAAUUGUGACUCAUUGAUCAUAACAUGCAUCUAUUUCUCCAUCAUGCGAUUCGAUCCAAAGCUGACAUAUAUGAUGUAUCAGGUUCCUUGGAUUGUGGUUCAUGGUUUGCAUACAUGAAAAUACUACGUCCAUGUGGUUGUGUUCAUUGUGAAUCUUCUAAUAAAAAAUAUUAUGCUAUCGCGAUUUUCUUAUGGUUAAUAAUAAUAAUAAAAGUGAGGAGGUGCAUAUAAGUUGUGUUGUUCAUUAUCAGUUCAUGUCUUGAUUUAUCAUCACAUUGCUCUAUGUUUGGAGAUGCUAAGAUGGUUGGGAAGAUGCUUCAAUUUCUUGUCCUGUUUUUCUGUUAUCUUUUCUAUUACUCUUGUUUCUCAAGAGGAUAUAAUUUGGAUUAAUUCUUUUAAGUGUCUUCAAAAAAGGGGAAUACUUUUAAUGGUUCGACUAAUGAGUUAGGACAUGGUAUUUGGCAGGCUCUAAUUCUUGUCCAAACACCUGGACCAAGAAAUUGUUUAAUGUUAAACUAAAUAGCCAUUUGGUAAAAUUGCAUUGUUUGUAUGUUUUUGUAGAAAAUACUUCUUGCUUAAAUGUGUUGUAUUGUACUGAGUUUCAAUCAAGUGUUAAUGUAAUAAGCUAACAUGAAAUGUUGUCGUCUUCAGUGAAUGCAAUUGCUAUGAUUUUCUCUUUCAUUUAACCAGUGAUGGAAGUGGUGGUAAUGAUAUUGGUUUGAAAGAUUGUUGAGUUGCCUUUGAUAUCACGGAUGCACCAGCUUGGUGGACUAAUGGACACGUCUUUAAUGGUUUCUGGCCAAUUCUUUCCUUGGUUGUGAUUAUAAUUAUUUAUUAUUAUAAUUGUUUACAUUAAUGUUUUUCUUGGUAUGUCUUAUCCAGGAAUGGUGUCAACUUAAAACAACUAAGGCUGAAUAUGUCUUAUUGGAACAAAUGAUCAUGUUAUUUAACUAUUGGACAAAUGUUUAUUAAAUCUUCACUAAAGUGGGAUUUUAUGAAAAUUUUGGUUCGGGAAAGUAUGCAUAGAAUUGUGAUUUAAUUUUUCAACCUUUUGGGUUGAUGGCAAAACAAAACCAAAAUUGCAGUGCCUACAUGAAGAUCUUAUAGGAGUUGGUCUUGGUCAUGGUGGCAGAGACGACAAAGUUUCCGAUAGACUUGACGAAGACGAGCACGGCGAGUUGGUGUCAUCUAGCCCUUGAGCUCGUGUAGGCCAUUGGAACUGGGAAGGUUGCAACUCAGGCUCAGGAAGUAAGUAAUGUCUUUUUUUUAUUUAUCUGGAUGUGGUUUUGUUUAUUAGCUUCAAUUUGAGUCGAUGUAUGUAUCAUAUUGCAAAGUGAUUCUUUAUGUUUCUACUAAUUUUUCAUACAAGUUAUUGUUGAGGGGAUGCUAAUAAAUGGGGACACUUAGAAUUAAUGUUGGUUAAAGAAAGUGACUUAAUUGAUCUUUCUGGGUGGUGCAUCUUGUUUGUUUUUGUGGAGGUGAAAUUAAGUUAAACAACUUCUUCUAUGAGAGCAUAAGUGCUUUUUAUUUCAAUAACUUUAUUCCUUUUGAUGGGUGUAGUAUUUGCUUCCUGUUUUGAUAUGAGUUUAUAGAUUCUACUGAGUAAUGCCGUUUUUGAAGUAGAUGGUAGGUUGCAAGGUGGAACCUGAUAUAUGUGAAAAUAAUCCAUAAUUAGAUUCUACCAUUAGUGCAGGAAAUUGGUUUUUUCAUACGAUGUUUGGUUGAUUUCUCCUACUUACCAUCAAAUUGAAAUGUUAAAAUUAUGCAUGGAUACUAGACAAAGGCAUAAAUGGUAGCACUGUUUUAUAUGCUUUGAAUUGUGUUCUAUCUUAAUCUAUUGUGUGAUGGCUAUACAAUAAAGAAUUAAGGCAAUUUAUGUCUCUUGCUCAAAAGUGAGACAUAGACAUGCAUGAUUAAAUGAACUUGUUCUCAGGGCUGCUUCAGUUUGAGGCAAUUUUGAGUUAAAGAUUGCUUAAAUGGUUUUGACCAAAUAAUUAUUAGGGUUUGGGGUUCACGUUACUAAUGUUUCUUGGCUUUUUUAGCUGGUUGCAAUCACAACAAUAAAGUCUUUUGCGAUAAUAUUUUUUGCACUAACCUUUACUUCUUCAGGAAAAACUUCUGAGCAAGAUUUUGUAGUGCAAGCUUGUGUACAUACUGGAUUAUGUAAAUUAUGGUUUUAAAACUUGUAACAUGUCAAUAGUCUUUCCCAAAGAGAGGAAUGUAUGAAUGGUUUGAGAUUUUUUCAGGGUAUAUAUUUUUAAGAGAAUUAAGUUGACUAUUUUCUUGUCCAAAGACUUGAAAUCUUGGUUGUUUUAUUCAUCUUUUAUAUGAUUGUUAUACAAUAAGGUUACAUAAUCUAUUUUCAAAAUGAUGGUUGUUUAUGUUUCUUGCCCAAAUGUGUAACAUAAACAUGUACGAAUGAUGGACAUGAAAUAUUUUUCCAUAAAGGAAAAGGUGAAGGCAGGAGUAUCUUCACAUAAAGCCCUUGGCUAUUGGAGUGUUCAAGGAUCAUGUCAUGGAUAUGGGAAUCAUUGACUCAUUCAAUUCUGUUGUUCUGUGGGAGUGAAUUUCCCUAUUUGAAUAAGUAGUGAUAAAGGAGAGGUUAUAUGUUGAUAAUAUAAUUUUAUAGAGUUUGAAUACGUGGAAAAGUUAACAUCGUAUUUUUGUGCAAGCACAUUCAGAAUGCUUUGAAAUACAACUUAAGGUAUUUUACAACUACUCCAUUUAAACCGGGAUUUGGUACAACAGGACAAUAACCAUACUUCCACAAUAUAUGGAAGUUGGCGGCCAUUGCCACAAUAAAUGUAGGAAUUCCCUGCUCACAGAAAAAACGUUCUAAGAAAAGAGUUCUAUCACCAUAAGAACAUAAAGGCUUCAAGUGAGUAGAAGACUUUCCCUGGACGAUUACUUGUAGACUAAGGUUCUCUCGUUCAUCCAACUCAAUGUCGUCUUCAAGUAUCCUCAAAAACUUUACAUGAUUGUAUAGCAUUAACCUUGUACAUAUAUAUAUAUAUAUAUAUAUAUAUAUGUAUGUAUGUAUGUAUGUAUGUAUGUAUGUAUGUAUAAAAUGACGCAAUGGUAUGUGGUUAACACGACACACAUACAUAUUGAUCUUGUUCUAAAUAGCAUGUAAUCCUUGUAUAGAGCUAACCCUAAUUUUUAGUUCUCACAUAUAUAUAUAACAAAGACAGGGAAAAAGCCAUGCUUAUUUUUCACACGAAACGAAUAAAGAUGAAAUAGAAAGAUAAAAAGUACAAAUUCCAAAAAGAACCAGAUUUCCCCAAGUGGUCAUUGUCUAAAUUCCUUCUGAUUCCAUAAAACGUCCGAAAAAAAACCUGCUAUGGAACUAACAAGAAGGAAAAAAAAAAAAAAAGUUUGUUCAGAUACAUAAUUUCGAGUGUUAUCAGACAACCAUAAAUCAGGCAAUGAAAGAGUGGCUUGUGAUAGAUUAAUUGACGCCACCUAGACCUGUAAACGGGUCGGGUUUAUUGGGUUUGGUCGGGUUCAACCCGACCCGUUAAGUUAACAAGUCACCCAAACCCGACCCGUUAAGCUAACAGGUCACCCGUUUCACCCGUUAACAAUUGUUAUUAUUAUUUUUUUGCAUAAAGUUUAUUUUUUGUUAUUAAGACGUUACUAAAAUUACUAAAAUAUCAUCAACUAACGGGUGCUAACGAGUGUUAACGGGUCCUAACGGGUUGACCCAAAGUAACUCGUUAUUUAAUAGGUUGUUAACAGGUUCACCCGUUAGCGACCCGACCCGUUAAGCAUCCACCCAAAUACAAAUAUUAACGGGUUGGGUCGGGUCGGGUUAACGGGUUAGGUCCAAAAUGCCAGGCCUAACGCCACCCCUUCCCCCAUCUUAAAAAAUUAUGAAUAUGGAGUUCAUGGGGCUGUAAGUACCAUGGAUCUAGACCUGGCAUUCGUGUCGUAUUUUCUGUGUUCGUAUCGUUUUCAUGUUAUACCCGAUAUCUUAACGGGUCGUGUCAUGUAACACCCGUUAAAAUAAACGGGUAAAAUGACCCGACCCGAAAUCGAUCCGAUAAUAUUAACAGGUAAUAUGACUCGACCUGUUACCUAUUAAGGAAAAUAUAUUUUAAACCAAUAAAUAAUCAAAUGAAAUACAUAAUACUAAAUAAGUAUAUACAUACCACAUUAUCACAUCCUAAACAUAAAAACGCAUUUUUCUUUUAAGUAUAUAUUUACAUACCCAAAAUAAGAGCAUAAUAAAAAAAACAUUAGAACAUUACAAAAUAUCAAAUGUUCAAAAGAUUUGCAAAAUUAAGGAUAUUGGAACAUUAAAACAUUGGAACCUUGCACAUUUUCUUCCAAUCAAAGCUAGUCCUGCAUGUCAAUUGUUCAAGAACUCAAGUGACAUCUUAGGGCUUGUUUAGUAUCCUAUUUGAAAUUUUUUAUAAUUUCCCAAAACAUUUCUUAAGAUUUUUUCUUGAAAACAAUUUUCUUUAAAACUCAAAAACUUGUUUGGUAUGCGAUUUAAAAAUUUUAAAUCUUACAACUUAAACUAGACAAAAAGAUCCAUAAAAAGGUGGUCGAGAGAGAAAGAGAGAGAAAGAGGAGAGAAGAGGAAAGAAAGUAAGAGAUGAUUGGAGAAAAGAGAAAGAAGUGAGAAGAUCGGAGGAGAUAGAGAGGAAGAGGAGUGAGAGAAAGAAUUGAGAGAAUGAAGAGCAAAUUGGUGGAGAGACGAAAAAGGUAAAAGAAAAAAGAGAAGGGGGAGAGAGAAAGAAGAAAAGAGAGAUAGAUUUGGAGUGAGGGGGGAGGAGGGAGAGAAAAGAAAGGAGUGAGUUUAAGUUUAAAAACUCUAAAAACUCACUUUUUGUGUUUUUAGAUAAUAGACUAUAUUUUUGAGUUAAUCUUGAGUUCAGUUUUUUAAAAUAGUCCUACCAAACAACUUUUUAAGGCCUAAAACUUGAAAAUUGUUUUUGAGUUUAAAAAGUUGGAUUCACGUAGAGUACCAAACAGGCUCUUAGAAUUGCUUAAUAUGUAUGCUGAAGGCCGGAUAACCAACAAAUACAAAAAUUAAUCUGUGAAAAACUAUAUCCCAAAGGGUACUACCAUCACAAAGAUUAAUCUAAGCAUAUGAGAUAGCUCGCAAGUUAUUUUCAGCUCGUACCAACUCUAUAAACUCUUAAAGUCUCAGCUGAAAUUCGAAUUUACUCUGCCAUCAAUAAAGCAUUCAGCAUUAGACAAGAUAAUACCAAGUUUUCGAUGUGGUGCAUUGAGUGCAAUUCAAUUGGUAUACUUGUCAAUAUAUAGGAACCAUUUUGAGGAUGGAAGCAGUUCAAGGCACCAACUACUACUAACUUAAAAUGAAUUUCAAGAACCAUUUUAUCAGCAAUUCACAAGCAGUUCAAAGAAAUGUAGCAGAAUCAACAUACAUGUGGGAGCAAUAUCUUUCACCACCAUAAAAGCAAAGGCAGAAAAAUGACUUACAAAAGAACCUAGAAUGUAUGAAAGAUAAGUCAUCUCUAUUACUUUAAUCUCCUAUUAUGUAUUCCAAGUAUGGCGAAUCAUACGAUAGAAACCGUGACUAGCACAAAUAGUCCCUUGCAAUUAGGAUACCCAAAAAAAAUUGUAAGAAGAUAAUAACAAGUCAAGAUUCAGAUAAAUAAAGGGUACCUAAACCCUUCUAAACUUUCUUCCAGACACAAGCAACAUAACGUAUCAUUUUAGAGACAAAAUAGUAGUAUUAACAAACUCGUCUAACCCACAAAUUAAAAGCAAGCUUCCUUCCCAUCUAACCCCGAUCUCCCUUUUCGUAUCCUCUUUCUGAUCGAACUCUUUGUCGCCCUCCUUCUUUCUCUCCAAUUCUACAGGAUAUAUAAAUAGGCAUCUCCAUCCUAGGCUUCCCAAAAUCCAUAUCCUCAUCCUUUGUAACCUCUAAAUUCCCUCCCCACAUAUGAAUCUAAAUCAACAUCUUCAGGCAUUUCUAAGUAUAGAAAAACUUUGUUCUUGCUGAGAUCGAUUAAAGUAGUAACGGAACUUAAAAUGAAAAAGCAAUAACGGAACUUAUUCACGAAAUAGCCAAAGUCUUACAUAUUUUUCAUCCAAGUAAAUAGCCAAAUUAAGAGGCAAAAUCGAACCUGGAGUGGAAUCUAGAGAAUGUAGAAAUGUAGAGACGACCAGAGAUGACAAGAAUGAUUAUGUCCACUACACGAGGGAGGAGAAAAGAGAUACUGAGAGAGGCUACCGGAAUAACAUACGGUGGGAUAGAGGGGCUAGGAAGAACAGACGGCAGGUCGGGAGAGAGGGUUACCGGAGUGGGGAGAGAGAAAUGGAUUAGGGCUUUUGUUUUGAUUAGAUGGUAAAAUUGGAAAAUAUUGGAAAAUAUAAGGGGUUUUUUUUGUCCAAAAAAGUUUUAAUAAUAUAAGUCAAAUAGAAUCCAACUAUACAGGUUUACUUUCAUUUAUUUUACGGCUGUUAUUUAAGUAAAGUCUUUAAUAGUUUUUUAAUUAAUGUAGGAGUGUAAAAAAUAUAGAAAAAAAUAUAUAAAUGCUCGUAAUGACAAGCCGUUGAUUGUUGUUUACAUUUAUGCUUCAUUUUUCUUAUCAAAUUUUGUUUUUUCAGAUUUUGUUUUUUUGAAAACAUGAUCUUUUAGAGGAUGUAAGAAGAUGAACGGUUUGGAUCGUUGAUAUUAUGUUCAGAGUUUUACGGUUAGUGAUAAUAUUGCUUGAUGUUUAUAAAGUUUCUACAAACUAUGUGACAACGACUCAUAUUUCAGUUAACCAUAAAUAUUAAAACGUGAUAUCAAAGAUCUGAACCGCUCAUCUUCUUACAUCAGCCAGAUGAUCAUGUUUUCAAAAAUGAAAAUUUAAAAAAUGAAAUUCAGUAAGAAGAAUAAAGCGUAAAUGACAAUUGACGGUUAAAUAUAAAUUUAAGGUUUAUGGAUUAUAGUGUUGGAUUUCGAAGCUGACCCCUUCAUGAAAGUUGUAAAGCUUGUCACUAUGAGUGAUUGUGUGUGUGUAUAUAUAUAUAUAUUUUACAUUUUUUACACUUCUACAAUAAUUAUUAUUAAUUUUGUCCUCAAAUAAAAACCAGUAUUCAUGAGGGUUUGGAGGAUUUUAAGGGUAACCAUUAUCUACUCGUGGAGGAAUAAUGAUGAAUCAUGAGUGUUUAUAUAUUCUUUCACAUUUUUCAUACUUGUAUGUAUGUCUUCUUAGUUCUUGCCUGUACAAAUACUAUACUAGUUUAUUUUAAUUUUGGAUAACAACAUGUUAAGUAAAAUUUAUCCUAGUAAUGAUACUAAGGAACUCUCAUAAUAAAAAUAAAUAAUGACUAAAAUUUUAUUUUUUAACUUAUAUAGAAUAAUAAUACAAAACUAUAUAUUUAAUAUAGAAUAUAUUGUAUAUAUUAAUAUGUCUAUUGUAUUUUAUAAUAAAUCUUUUAGUAAUUAAACUUUAAAAUUAUCAAAAUAAUUUUUUUCUUAAAGGGUCGAAACGGGUUACCCACGUGUUACCCGCGUGUAUACUCGUUAAGAACCCAUUAUUAAUGGGUUCUUAACAGGUCAUCCAAUAAUGAUCCGAUUAGUUAUCGUGUUAACCCGAAACUCGUUAUUUUCUUGUCGUUUUCUUGUUGUGUCAGAAACUGCCAGGUCUACAUGGAUCUUCUUACUCCCAAUCAGGUUGCCCUACCAGGUCUCACUGGUGUUACAUGUAGGUUGUGAUGUGCCUUGAGAUAGCCGAAAUGUCAUGAAAUCUCGGCUUUUGAGGAUGUCUUUUUUUUUUUUUUUUUGGUAAACGCUUUGAGGAUGUCUUCAGCAACAAGAAACAUGUAAGUUGUAUGUGCAACACAUUCAGAUCAUGGGCUAGGACGAAAGAAAGAAAACAAUUGAUCCGAUAUCAACGAUCAGUACCAGUAAAUAGACAAGAAUGGAAGAACUCCAUUGGGUCUCGAAAGGGAUGGGAUGCUGAGGUGAGAGGUCGUGUCAGGGGGGGUAUCCAGUAACGGAUUUUGGAAUGCAAUGAAGGGUCAUCAAUCAACCCUCCUCUCUACUCGUUGGUUAGGUCAUUCACUCAAGGGUACCGAGGAUGUUGACUCAAGGGAAUCAGCUUGUGGGUAGAACCGAAUAAAGCUUCGAAUCAUUAGUUUAAAGUUAAGAUGUAGAACUAGAUCAUAUAUGGGUCAAGAGAUCUUCAAUCUCCAGUUCUAUUCUUUUUCUCCAACCUUUGAUGAUUAAAAUCUAUUUUGAAAAAUAAUGAACUUACUAAUCACCCUACAUGGUUUUUUUUUCUUUUUCUUUUUUUUUUCAAUCUCUCUUUUAUUUAUUUUUAUUAUUUUAUUUUAUUUAUUUUUUUUUUUUUUUUGGGUAUUACGAAAGCUUCACUAGGGGUGGGCAUAGAAACCGUGAAACUAUGAAACCAAAUUGAACUGCGACAAAAUAAAUCGUUAAAAACCGUGUUGACCAAAAAAAGUCAACAUAGGUUCAAGCAUAGGACUGAACCGUUCAUAUCGGUUCUGGCUUCGAUUCUCAUGUUGAUCCAACCGCUUAAAACUGAACCGAACUGUGAAUAUAAAUAAUUAACUAAAUCUAAUAAUUGUAUACAGGUGUUACUAAAUGAGUGGUGAAAAUCAAACUAAUUUCGCCUAAUGCAACUGCAUGGAAGCAUUUCUUAAUUAGGUUUUUCACUUGCACGGUUCACCCAUUGAGAUAAAACACAUAUUAAAAAAAAAAAAAAAAAAAAAAAAAAAAGAGGUCAUUUUCUCUCCUAAAUCUCCAAAUUUGACAUUCAGGUUUUGAUUUUAUAUUUUUCUUGGAUAGAAUGAUCUUAAAGUUUUAAGUUACAUUUUGCUUUUUACUUUCCCUUUUUAUGGGCCUUUUUUUAAUCUCUUGAUAAGUCCCUUUUGGACUUAAAUUAUUGUAUUCGUACUAACAUUCUUACUGCACAGUGAAUAUAUUUGUAUGUGUGGAUGUAUAUUUGUAUUAUAAAUGUAUGUGGACAUUUGAAUUGUGUUUCUUUUUUUGUUGCUUGGUGUUAAGGAUAUUUACAUUUUAAUUUAGUAUUUGAAAAGGAUAUAUCUUGUUUGUAACUUUGUAUAACCAUUUUAAAAGUUGUAUUUGAAUACAAGUAUGCAAAAAACAAGGAAACUUUAACUACCAUUUUGAUUUGGUAUUUAAAUGAUUUAGUAUUCAAAACCGUAAACCGACAUGAAUCGAAUUGAAACCGGUUUGAAUUGAAUCGUACAAUUUUAAUAAAAAAUUUAAGCGAAACCACACCGAACCAAACCAUUAAUAUUUUUCAGUUUCAAUUUCAAUUUCGGUUUGAGGAUAAAACUGCACUGAACCGUACAGUGCCCACCCCUAAGCUUCACUUUUUUUGUCUACGCCAUUUAUACAUAUAGAUUAUUUGAAAAGUAUUUUUUAAAAGAAAAUGUGGGGUUGGUCAAGAUGAUCUUCCAUUGAUUAUUUGAAAAGUACCUUUUAGAAGAAAGUGUGGGGUUGGUCAAGAUGAUCUUCCAUAACCAAUCAAAACAAGAAAAACUAAGAUGAAAAUGGUUUUAAAACUUUUUAACGAUAAGGGUAAAAUAAAUAGUAAAAUGAAUAGUACUAAGAUUGACUUUUUAGUGUAAAAAAUGGUCAAAAUAUUUCAUCCUGUUGUAAAAUCGACGGUGGGUGCAAUGGAAUAAAUGAAAUAAGACACAAGAUUUACGAGGUUCCUCUACAGUCUGUGUGACUGGAGUAUGUCCUCAGGGCAGCAGUAGUGCUUUCAUUAUAAUUUGAAAUAAUAGGAGUACAAAGAUAACUCUCUAUAUUCUUUUCUCUCUUCUUCCUCACUUUUCUCUCUUCCUUUUCCUUCCUUCUUCUCUAUUGUGAGUCUCUCACUUCUCUCCCUUUCUUCCUCCGUAUAUUUUCAUUUUAUAGAAAAAGGUUACUGUAGCAACACUAUUCACUUUACAAAAAUUUCCACAAAUGAAUAGUGAAAAUACUGUGCAUAAAUAGUAACAAACUAUUCAUGUGGCCCAUCCACAUAUUAUUCACAACACUCCCCCUUGGAUGGCCACAAGUCUUCGAUUAACUAUUUAAAAUCUUGAUCUGUUUUGAAUGCUCCCCUUGAUAAGUAUCUCCCCCUGAUUUCAAAUCAUUUAGGUUGAUCGCUGAUCAUUCUACUUCAGUCUCUUAGUAGGAAGAGUUGUCGAAAGAGGUGUUUUACUUGUUGUUAACUUUCCACGGGCUUGUUCUUGAACUGGGCUAGAAGGCCUUCUGCUAGACUUUCUUCAAAAAUCUGAAUUUACUCCUUUUAUCUGGAGCUAAAUUUGACUCAAGAGUGGUGGACACUUGAUCUUGAAUUGGACUUGUGAUUUCUUCAAGGACUUCGAGGCUUGAUCUUGAAUGAAAUUGAACCAUGAGGAGCUUCACUUGGCAAGUGAUUUUUGGUUUUGUCGGAGAUGAAUCAACACGUGUUUGUUGCGCUUGUCUCCACAUGCUUCAAUGUAUCAUUUUCACUUGCCUUACUUGCUUCCCUUGCUUAAGUAGUAUUUUCCCUGCUUUUUCCCCAUGUAUGUGUGGCAUCUUCUCUUGCAGUAUUUGCCCUCUGAUGCAGAAGUGGAAUGCAACCCUUGCAUUUGGAUGGUUCAUCACUUCUUGGUGACUGGAGACCCAGCUCCAACAACAGUUGAAGAUGGCUACUCGAGAGCAAUACUAGGUAAGCAAUCAAGAAAGUUUCCAGUCGGUUCCUUACCAGGAGUUUGAGUGGAGGUUCCGACAUAUUGCUUUCUUUAUCCUUGUCUUUGCAGGUAAGAACAAAGACAAAGGAAAUGACAGGGAGAUUGCAUGAUAUUAGAUACUCUUGCUCUCGUCCCUGAAGAUAUGAGAUAAUCUUGCUCUGGUGUGACUUGUUUGAAGAGGUAUUCUCGGAGAGGAAGAAAACUGAGUAUUUCGAGAUGCUUUGUUGAAGAUGCAUUCUCGGAGAUGAGGAAGAGUUGGACAUUCUUGUAGGUCUACCUUGUUAUGGAGAACAGAGGUCCACAUAUAUAGAGAUUUCCCAAUAGCAAGUGGUGGUGCUGUGCUUUUACUCUUGUCAGCAACUGUGGUGUAAAUAAAACAGUAAGAUUUACGCAUUUUCAACUUUGUCAGAGAUCUUUAACAAAGUUGCACGCAAUAUCCAAAAAAGUUGAGAUUGAGUCUGAAAAAUGCCAACGAACUUUAUUCAGGAAAAUCUGGCUUUUGAAAUUCGGAGAGCGGUGCCUCUUCGAUCUCUGAAUGAGUGGCUCUGUUGCCUCUUCUUUUAUAGAGACAUCAAUUGUGUUCAAGAGUAUGCUUAGAAAGUUGCUGUACGUUGAAAUUUUCCCUUCUUACACUUCUGAAAUUUUAUUUGACCUCUUUUUUCCUUCAUCAUUUCUGAAAACGACUUGCCCAUCUAACAUUUGCUUGGAUUUAAGUCUUAGGAGUGAUACAGACGAGCAACGUCAGGAUAACAUACGGCGCCCGUUCUUCUUAUCUUCUAAUGGUCCUCUUACAGUUGGGGACUCUGUGAAGAAGAAUAACAUAACCGCUACUAUGGUAGCUAGGAAUCUUCUCACUCCAAAGGAUAACAGAAUCCUUUCAAAACGGUUUGAUGAGUUGGUCGUUCAAGACUCCUUGUCUCUCAGUGUUCAAUGUGCGGGCUCUGUUUCCAAUAUGGGCUAACGCUUACUUGCUCAAACUUGCCAACUUGAAUCAUUGAUGGCUAAGGUGGCAAGUCUUAAACAAAGAGAUCAGAGGGCUCAAGCACGAUAAUAGAGUGUUACACGUGCUUGCAAAUAAUUACUCGACGAGCAUGAAAAAAAAACUCGAUCAGCUGCAGGAAUCUGAAAGUCUAAUUCAAAAUGAUCAUCAGAGGUUCGUUGCUAGAUUCCAAAAGCAACUUAUGCCUUCCCCUUCUGGUGUUUUGUCAAGUACUGGGGUGCCACAUGAUCAAUCUCUAGUGCCUCCCCCUUCUGGGGUACGUCUGAGUACUGAGGCUUCACAUGAGCAACCUUUGUGAAGGCUUCAUCCUAUUUGUUUAUUUUAGCUCAUGAGUAUGCACAUAUCUGUAAUUUCUCGGAGAUAUUAAUAGAUAAGCUUUAUUUCAUUCAGAGUAUUGUGCUAAAUACAAUAAAGCAUAUAUUUCACUAAGAUGUGGUACUUCUGGACCAAAUAUCAAUUUAUUUUUACCCUCACGAAGAUAAAUGAUCUUUCUUAGUGUCUACAUCAUUUGACUAUUCAACUCAUAAUCUUCAAUCCAUAUGGUUCUUUUAAUAUCAUAGACAUCAUGGAUAAGAUUCGUGUUGGUAAAUUGUUCGAUCUGUAACUCGAGACAAUAUUUUUCUCAACACUUUAUAAUCUUUAUUGACUCUUCAGGAGUUUCAAUUUAAUAUCAUCAACUCUUCAGAAAUACUGAUUUAAUAUCAUCAACUUCUUGCAAGAGAUUUUAGUAUGUUGCAACAAUAUCAUAAUGAUAGUACUCACUAAGGCAAUUUAUACCAUCCAUUGGUAUUGAGUACAUAAUUUAUGUUUUACCCUUUUGGGGCUUACUUCAAGUAAUUUGAAUCCUUCAGGGAUUUUCUACACUUCAUGACACAUUUUUCUUUAGAAUUUAUACAGAGCAAUUUGUUCCUAUGUAUACUUGAGGGAUUUACUUAUGGAGAUAUGAUGUGGGCGACUCACAACCCUUCGUAUAUAAUUCUCCAUUCAUAUGAACUUGUUUACUAGAGUAUAAUUUCAGGGUCAUAUCAUGUGAGCGUAUUACACUGUAUUUACAAAUGCCCAUAUGUAACCUCAUUGGUUCAACAUCUUUUGGCUAUUUGUAUUAUAUUCAAAUAUAUAGGUCCAUUUAUCCGCGCUCUUACAAAAUUGUAAUGGAAUUGCCUUUCUCCAUUUUUGGCCAAUAAUUUUGUUGACGAAAAAGAACGGGACUCAAUAUCAACACAGCUCAUUGAUGAAUUUAGUAGCUACUUAUAAAAACCAAAAUUACCAUUGGUUAUUAUCAAUCCGUAAUCCCAUAUUCUCAUGUGCAUGUGCAUGCAUAAAAACUUUUCAUUUCUUUUGGAUAUCCAUUGCCUCUUCAAGGGCAUUAUACUAUCUCUUCCAAGAUAAUCAUAGUUUAGAGAAUGCAGAUCAUAACCUCCUAUUGAGCGUUAUGGAGCUUGAAUUUUAAUCUCCACUUCCAGGAAAUUGAGUCAUUGGAACUUAUAUGUCUAUCAUGCUUCAUGCAUGAGACAUCAACAUUCCCAUGUCUGCGGAUUGUCCUUUCUGGGACGUAUAUUCAUGCGGCGACUGUCUUACUUCUGGCAUACAACAGUUAUGCUUCGGGAAUGCAAUAGUUUAGUAGUGUUAUAUUCGUCUUCUUUCAAAUGAAUGAACCUUUUGAGUCUAAGGGUCUACCACGGUUCAGGCGUGCAACAGAUAAAUCAUUUACUGCAUCGUAAUUUUGUCCAACAUGGACAUCAAUUCUUGUAGGCACAUUUGCAGCAAGUAUAUAUGAUUUCAUCAAUUUCGUUGCAUCAUUCAAUUAUUCCUAUUUCAUUUUCUCAUUGAUUGCUUCGUGAAUCAAAAUAAGACAAAUUCUCUUCGUUCUUCUGGAAAGGUAUUUUCUUAUUAUUCUUUUGGAAUGAUAUUUUCUCAUCGUUCUUCUGGAAUGAUGUUAUUUUCUCCCCCUAAUGGCGGAAAAAUUGUCUUAUCAAAAUGAUAGUCCGCAAACCACGUGGUAAACAUAUCCCCAGUUAAGGAUUCCAAAUAUUGAAUGAUAGAUGGUGUUCAACAUCAAUGCCUAAUCCGCGAUGAUGCCUUAUUUCAGUACGUUGUGGCAAUGCUUGGCUGGUUUCCAGACACGAGUUGUACUGAGAAGUAUUAAUGGUUGGCAACAUGUCUCAACCGAAUUAAUAAUGCAUCAUAUAAAGUUUACAUGUCCCUAUGUAGAAAACUGGCAAUUUCGUUUUCAUGAGCAGAGCGCGGGAAAUCAAUUUCAUCCUCUUAAUAAAGGCUUCUGCUAAACCAUUUUGAGUAUGGACAUAAGGAACUUCUGGUCCUUAUUUAAUAGUCUGUAAACUGAGACUCUUAUGGCUUUUAUUACAAUUAAGUUAAGGUACUGCGGCACUUUAAACUUACGGUACUCAUCUCGGAACUUCAUGUCCUGAUCUUCAAGAUCAAGGGACUUCAUACCUGAUCAUUUUGCGUGAUGGAACUUCAGGUCCAAUCAUUUUAUGUGAUGAAGAUCAAGAAACUUCAGGUUCUGAUUUGAUCAAAGAACUUUGGGCCUUAUAUAUACUUAUCGUAACAAAAGGUAAGUACAAUAAAUAAAUUAAAGCAAUAAGCGGUAAUUCUAGCCAUAGUAAAUAAAUUGCAUUUAAGUAAAUAAAUCUUGUGACAAGGGCUUUAAUUCAACACCAUCAAAACUUAAAGCAAUAGGCGGUAAAACCGUCCAUGGUAAAUAAAUUGCUUUAAAGUAAAUAAAGCUUGUGACAAGGGCUUUGAUUCAGCACCAUUCACAUAAAUAUCAAAGCUUUAAAGUAAAGGGUAAUAAUUCUACCCAUUGUAAAUAAAUUGCUUUAAAUAAAUAGAACUUGUGACAUGAGAUUUAAACCAAAACUAUGCACAUAAAUAUCAAAGCUUUAAAGCAAAGGGUAAUAAUUCUACCCACUGUAAAUAAAUUGCUUUAAAUAAAUAGAACUUGUGACAUGAGAUUUAAACCAACACUAUGCACAUAAAUAUCAAAGCUUUAAAGCAAAGGGUAACACCAUCAAAACUUAAAGCAAUAGGCGGUAAAACCGUCUAUGGUAAAUAAAUUGCUUUAAAGUAAAUAAAGUUUGUGACAAGGGCUUUGAUUCAGCACCAUUCACAUAAAUAUCAAAGCUUUAAAGUAAAGGGUAAUAAUUCUACCCAUUGUAAAUAAAUUGCUUUAAAUAAAUAGAACUUGUGACAUGAGAUUUAAACCAACACUAUGCACAUAAAUAUCAAAGCUUUAAAGCAAAGGGUAAUAAUUCUACCCACUGUAAAUAAAUUGCUUUAAAUAAAUAGAACUUGUGACAUGGACUUUAAAACCAACACCAUGUACAUAAAUAUGCCAAAACAGAAAAUGCAAUGAUUAAGUCUUCAUCUUUUGCUUUUUCUUUUUCUUGGUUUGCCACUUCUUUUGUUUGAUUCCUUUUAUUUUUAUUUUUGGCCAAAUUGGAUUAUUUAUCCCCGUGGUCAUAGGAAACUUGCAUGAUGACCUCCGUGGUGAAAAAACUAGGAAUUAAACGCCUGUGGUCAAGAAUAUUAGCAAAUUUAGUCCAAAAGUAAGAUUUCUGUUAAAUGAUUGUUAAAAGUAUGGGUAAAACUGUAUUUUCAGUUCCAAUUGACAUUUAAAAUAAAUAAUUUUUUUAUAACAAUUAACAAAAAAAAUAAUGCUUAAUUUUUUAAAUAAAAAAAAGCCCUAAUUCAAUGUCAAUUGGAACUGAAAAUACAGUUUUACCCCAACUUUUAACAGUCCUUUAACAGAAAUCUUACUUUUGGACUAAAUUUGCUAACAUUCUAGACCACAGGGGUUUAAUUCCUAGUUUUUUCACCACGGGGGUCAUCAUGCAAGUGUCCUAUGACCACGGGGAUGAACAAUCCAAUUUAGCCUUUAUUUUUAUUUCACAGUUCUGAAGUCAUUUUGGUUUACUCAGGAAAUAAUAGUAACAAUAGGUUCCAAUUGGUGUUCCUCCUCCGGUGAGUUUCGAAAAAGUCGAAACGGUUCCCUUAAGUUUUGGAGUCAAGAGUGUCGAAAUGGAGUUGUGGUACUCAUAAGGUGGUUGUCCAGUUUUAUGCGGAAAGUGGAAACUGGUUUGGUAUUUCAGACAUCUGUGACGAUCACACCGUUAAAGUUUUCUAAAAUUUUGAUAUGUUGUAGAUACUGAGCGGAUGAACAACUUUCAAGAAUAAAGUAUUUCAAUCUGAGGUCUGCAAGUUGGAGUUCCGAGGCUGUUUACAUGGCAGUCAGAUUCUUUACGAAUUUUGAGUCUGUACUCUUUUGCUUCUGCAAAGGAUGAUAUACAGUCAUGCAACAACAUAUAUAUUUUUGCUUCAGGAAAAUCAGUAGUACAAAGAUAUUAAGAUGAAAUGAGAAGAUUUUCUUAUCUGUGAGAUUCUAGGUGACAGAGGUGAACAAGAUUUGUGGCGUUAUGCUUUCCGCUAACAUGAGAGUUUCUCGUGCUGAUAACGUGUUGUAAAAUUGACGGUGGGUGCAAUGGAAUAAAUGAAACAAGACACAAGAUUUACGAGGUUCCUCUACAGUCAGUGUGACUGGAGUACGUCUACGGGACAGCAGUGGUGCUUUCAUUAUAAUUUGAAAUAAUAAGAGUACAAAGAUAACUCUCUAUAUUCCUUUCUCUCUUCUUCCUCUCUUUUCUCUCUUCCUCUUCCUUCCUUCUUCUCUAUUGUGAGUCUCUCACUUCUCUCCCUUUCUUCCUCCGUAUAUUUUCAUUUUAUAGAAAAAUGUUACUGUAGCAAUACUAUUCACUUUACAAAAAUUUCCACAAAUAAAUAGUAAAAAUACUGUGUAUAAAUAGUAACAAACUAUUCAUAUGGACCAUCCAUAUAUUAUUCACAACACAUCCCAUUUUAUUCCCUAAUUUUUGUUUCUGAUGGUUGAAACAACAAACAAGCUUUUACCACAAAAAUAAAUAAAUAAAUCAAUCAGCAACAAACAAGCAGCCAAAUUGAGAUUCAUGAUGUAAACAAAUUGAAUAGAAAUGCAAAUCCCAAAACCCAAAUGCAAAAAUACGAAAUAAUAUGGCAUUUCUGAGGACAGUGGCCACGACUAAUGCCAUAGCUGCUGCCUCUGCAUUUCCUGCGGCCGUUGCCCUUUCUUCCUUCUCUUUUUCUUCCUCCUCUGUAUCUUUUCGAUUCCCAAAACCCCAAAACCUCUCCUUUCUCUCCUCCGCGCCUUCUCUGCUGAACCCAAAUCCUCCUUUCCUCGCUACAAGCUUCGCCCGCUCCCCCACGGCUAUCCAGAUGGACGCGCCCACAUCGGAGCAGCAAUCCUUUCAGGUUCGCUGAAAUUGUUUUGAGUUUAACGUUUUAUUUUUUAUUAAUGGGUUGUAAUCCCUUUUCAAAAAAAAUAGUGGGUAACAAUCUGAUUCUUCAAUGGGUUCCGUUUGUUUGAUCGGUUUAAGUUGAAUACAGAAACGUUUUUUUUUUCAUUUUUUUUAAUUGCAGAGUGAUGGCGCUUUGCCGGAGCUACUGGUAAGUCCGGUCUUCAGAAUUUUAUUUUCUUUUGAUCUAAAUUAUUUAUGUUCUAGAUGUAUCAAUGAUUUGAAGUACUGGUUAGGAAAAAUUACAGAUGUAAAUCAUUGUUAGUAAUAAAAGCUAGGAUUUUUGUGGAUUUCGCUGAAGAGUUUUCUGGUUAAGAAUUUUCGGUUUUGAUUUGGUAUGCAGACAGAGUACAUGGUGGAUAUGAAAUGUGAUGGAUGUGUCAAGUCUGUAAAGAGCAAGUUAGAAACUGUGGAUGGUAAGUUUUUCUGAGCUACUGCAUUACAAUGGGAAAUUUUGUUUGUUUUUUUUUCUCAUGUAUUUGGCAGUUUGGUAUUCUGAUGUUGUUAUUCAAUUGGUUUCCUCUAGGAGUAAAAAGUGUAGAGGUAGACCUCAACAGUCAAGUCGUCAGGGUUCUGGGUUCAACGCCUUUGAAGACCAUGACUGAAGCUUUGGAGCAGACUGGUCGAAAAGCAAGAUUAAUUGGGCAGGGGAUUCCUGAAGGUUAUAUCUUUUUUCCCUUCUCUUUCGAUGAAUGCAAUGUUGGGGUUCUUUCCCCUCAAUUUGUUGCUGAUAUGUAUCCAUGUCUAGUGACUCCUUUGUUGUCAUUAUUUCUUGUUGCACAACGCUGGGACGUAGAUAGAAUAUAUUCUUGUUCAAACAAGAAUAAUCGUUUUUCAUCCAAUUAUUCAAGCAAGUAUAACUGAAUCAAAGUGAACGAAAGGGACCGUAAUUUGAGUAUGGUUGGUGGAUAAAAUGCUGUUUGUAAAAAUUUUUUGAGUUGAACAAUUGAAAUGAACAGUUAACAUAUUGACGUCUUUCUUGUUACAUGUAGAAGAGCUGUAAUUUACCUGAGUUUAAGCUUUUAGCGGUUGAAUGAUCUAAAUCCUAUUUCUUAUGCAGAAGAAUUCCGUUUAUGUUAUAUUCAUAUUUUGGUUCAUAGCUCAAUAUAAUGGAGUUUUAUGAAAGUUUACGUUGCUGACAUAGUUCCUGUUUUUUUAAUGGCUUACAGAUUUCUUGGUUUCUGCGGCUGUUUCUGAGUUCAAGGGUCCAAAUAUUUUUGGUGUGGUUCGUUUUGCUCAGGUGAAUAUGGAAUUGGCUAGGAUUGAGGCCAACUUUAGUGGAUUAACACCUGGAAAACAUGGUUGGUCGAUCAACGAAUUUGGUGAUCUAACGGAAGGUGCUGCAAGCACUGGAAAAGUAUUUAAGCCAUCAAAUGAAGCAAAGGAGGUUCGCUUCUUCCUGUAAUAUCUAUGGUGGUUUAGACUUUUAAUAAAUUUCCUAGUAACUGGUUAGGAACACGCUUUCCAGUAAAAUUUAUAUCAAUGGUGUAGAGUUUUCGUUACGACGAUAUGUAUAAACGACUAGAUACCAAAGAAGGAGAGUUGGAUAUCUAUAAACUAUCUAGAGCAAGGGAAAAGAAGACAAGGGACCUAAACCAAGUGAGGUGCAUCAAGGAUGAGGAUGGAAAUGUUCUUGCUACAGAGAACGCGGUUAAAGACAGAUGGAGAGGUUAUUUUCAUAAUCUUUUCAAUGAAGGACAUGAAAUGAGUGCUUCUUUAGGGGAGUUGAGUAACUCAGAAGAGUGUAGAAACUACUCUUUUUAUCGUCGAAUCCGGAAGGAAGAAGUGGUUGUAGCUUUGAAGAAGAUGAAGCAUAAAAAAGCAAUAGGCCCAGACGAUAUACCAAUCGAAGUGUGGAAACUUUUGGGAGAGACAGGUAUAACAUGGCUCACUGACCUUUUCAAUAGGAUUUUGAAAACGAAGAAGAUGCCAAAUGAGUGGCGAAUGAGCACUUUGGUGCCUAUCUACAAGAAUAAGGGCGACGUACAAAAUUGCAUGAACUAUAGGGGUAUUAAGCUAAUGAGUCAUACAAUGAAGCUCUGGGAGAGAGUCAUUGAGCAUAGAUUGAGGCAAGAGACACGGGUUUCGGACAACCAAUUCGGGUUCAUGCCAGGGCGCUCAACCAUGGAGGCAAUCUAUCUCUUACGAAGAUUGAUGGAAAGAUAUAGAGAUGGGAAAAAGGAUUUACACAUGGUCUUUAUAGAUUUGGAAAAAGCGUAUGAUAGGGUCCCAAGAGACAUUCUUUGGAGGAUUUUAGAGAAGAAAGGAGUACGAGUAGCAUAUAUCCAAGCUAUAAAGGAUAUGUAUGAAGGAGCAAAGACUGCCGUAAGAACUCAUGAAGGACAAACCGAAAGCUUUCCCAUAACUGUAGGAUUACAUCAAGGCUCAUCCUUAAGUCCUUACCUUUUUGCGUUGGUAAUGGAUGAGUUAACACGACAUAUUCAAGAUGAUAUUCCUUGGUGUAUGCUUUUCGCAGACGAUAUAGUGUUGAUAGAUGAAACUCAGGAAGGGGUAAAUGCAAAGCUCAACCUUUGGAGAGAAGUGUUGGAAUCUAAAGGUCUUCGCCUAAGCCGAUCAAAGACAGAAUAUAUGGAGUGCAAGUUCAGUGCAAAUGGAGGCCAAAACGAGUUAGGGGUGAGGAUCGGAGAUCAAGAAAAUACCAAAGAGCGACCGUUUUCGUUACCUAGGAUCUAUCUUGCAAAAGAACGGAGAAUUAGAUGGAGAUCUCAACCAUAGAAUACAAGCUGGAUGGAUGAAGUGGAAGAGUGCAUCCGGCGUGUUGUGUGACCGCCGUAUGCCACUGAAGCUCAAGGAAAAAUUUUAUAGGACGGCAAUAAGGCCGGCGAUGCUGUAUGGCACAGAAUGUUGGGCGGUGAAACAUCAACACGUACACAAAAUGGGUGUAGCGGAGAUGAGGAUGCUUCGUUGGAUGUGUGGGCACACGAGAAAGGAUAAGAUUAGGAAUGAGGAUAUCCGGGGUAAAGUAGGAGUAGCCGAAAUUGAAGGAAAGAUGAGAAAAAAUCGGUUACGGUGGUUUGGACAUGUGCAAAGAAGGCCUACUGACGUUCCGAUUAGAAGAUGCGACUAUGGGACAGAGGUUCAGGG
This 41804-nucleotide long non-coding RNA is filed under the name Malus domestica (apple). Lineage: Eukaryota; Viridiplantae; Streptophyta; Magnoliopsida; Rosales; Rosaceae. The record is from RNAcentral.